RNAcentral lists this long non-coding RNA (748 nucleotides) under Macaca mulatta (Rhesus monkey). RNAcentral describes it as "lncRNA (ENSMMUG00000056609.1)". Lineage: Eukaryota; Metazoa; Chordata; Mammalia; Primates; Cercopithecidae. The record is from RNAcentral.
AUACCAAAUACUGCUGGAAGGAUGAAAAAGAUGAAAAGAUGUCACAAAAAGUAGCUUUUCCGCUUGAUGAAAAAAACUAAAACAGCAAAGCAAGUUGAAGUUCAAAUACAACACUGCAGGGGUCCUUUGCUGAGGACUGAAUUUUAGACACAGAACGCUCUUGAUGAUUUCAACCCACUAGGAUCCAUUGAUUUGAGAAACCACAAUCCGUCCCAUUUCCACUUGUGAUGAAUACCCAAGGACACCAAUUCCCGGAUGGACAAACAGCAUUGAGAGGCCUUAGCCCUGCUCCUCUCAAUUCCAUCCUGUAGAGAACAGGAGUCAGGAGCUGCUGGCAGGAGACAGUAUGUCACCUGAGACUCUGCCGGUGCAGAAUAUGAACAAUGCCAUGUUCUUGCUGAAAACGCUUAGCCUGAGUUUCAUAGGAGGACCUCUAAUUUCUGCCAGUUACUUCAUUCAUUCUCUUCACCACAAGUCUCCAGAGGAUGCUUCCUUUGUCCACACCUCCCCAUCUCCCAGCAAUUCUGGGUUUCCGAGCUUGCCACCUCUGGUCCUCUGCACCGUGAAGCCCCUUCCUUUCAAUUCCCCAGUAGCCAGUAGGUUGGAAACCUGAGCAAACCAAACAUUGAGGGAGGUAGAAAGUACUUGAGACCUACAGCUGGCUUUGAGCCUUGGCUUAGUAACACCUGUACUUUCAAGCAUAAACUCUGUGCAUGAAAAUUUAUAUCCCGCCUAAUGUGAGUACUUU